Molecule: ribosomal RNA, 253 nt
Filed under: uncultured bacterium
Lineage: Bacteria
Description: partial 16S ribosomal RNA
Rfam family: Bacterial small subunit ribosomal RNA
Source: RNAcentral
UACAGAGGGUGCAAGCGUUGUUCGGAAUUAUUGGGCGUAAAGGGUGCGUAGGCGGGCAGGUAAGUCCGUGGUGAAAUCUCUGAGCUUAACUCAGAAACUGCCAUGGAUACUAUUUGUCUUGAAUAUUGUGGAGGUAAGCGGAAUAUGUCAUGUAGCGGUGAAAUGCUUAGAUAUGACAUAGAACACCAAUUGCGAAGGCAGCUUACUACACAGUAAUUGACGCUGAGGCACGAAAGCGUGGGGAUCAAACAGG